GUGGGGAAUAUUGGACAAUGGGCGAAAGCCUGAUCCAGCCAUGCCGCGUGUGCGAAGAAGGUCUUCGGAUUGUAAAGCACUUUAAGUUGGGAGGAAGGGCAGUAAGUUAAUACCUUGCUGUUUUGACGUUACCGACAGAAUAAGCACCGGCUAACUUCGUGCCAGCAGCCGCGGUAAUACGAAGGGUGCAAGCGUUAAUCGGAAUUACUGGGCGUAAAGCGCGCGUAGGUGGUUUUGUAAGUUGGAGGUGAAAUCCCCGGGCUCAAACUGGGAACUGCGUCUAAAACUGCAUGACUAGAGUACGGUAGAGGGUAGUGGAAUUUCCUGUGUAGCGGUGAAAUGCGUAGAUAUAGGAAGGAACACCAGUGGCGAAGGCGACUACCUGGACUGAUACUGACACUGAGGUGCGAAAGCGUGGGGAGCAAACAGGAUUAGAAACCCCGGUAGUCC
Molecule: ribosomal RNA, 450 nt
Filed under: uncultured bacterium
Lineage: Bacteria
Description: partial 16S ribosomal RNA
Rfam family: Bacterial small subunit ribosomal RNA
Source: RNAcentral